Molecule: transfer RNA, 73 nt
Filed under: Felis catus (domestic cat)
Lineage: Eukaryota; Metazoa; Chordata; Mammalia; Carnivora; Felidae
Rfam family: tRNA
About the family: Transfer RNA (tRNA) molecules are approximately 80 nucleotides in length. Their secondary structure includes four short double-helical elements and three loops (D, anti-codon, and T loops).
Source: Rfam by way of RNAcentral
GCCUGGCAGGCUCACUCAGUAGAGCAUGAGACUCUUAAUCUCAGGGUCAUGACUUCAAACCCCAUGUUGGGCA